This 253-nucleotide ribosomal RNA is filed under the name uncultured bacterium. RNAcentral's name for it is "partial 16S ribosomal RNA". It matches the Rfam family "Bacterial small subunit ribosomal RNA", at positions 524 to 776 of the family's 1533-position model. The record is from RNAcentral.
UACAGAGGUCUCAAGCGUUGUUCGGAUUCAUUGGGCGUAAAGGGUGCGUAGGCGGCGCGGUAAGUCGGGUGUGAAAUCUUGGAGCUUAACUCCGAAACUGCAUUCGAUACUGCCGUGCUUGAGGACUGGAGAGGAGACUGGAAUUUACGGUGUAGCGGUGGAAUGCGUAGAUAUCUGGAGGAACACCGGUGGCGAAGGCGGCAUCCUGGACCGGUAUUGACGCUGAGGCGCGAAAGCCAGGGGAGCAAACGGG